UGAGUAGGUAAAAACGAUCGCACCGAUUUUCGGUGAGGAAAGUCCGAGCUCCAUAGGGCAAGGGUGCCGGGUAAUACCCGGUGGAGGCGACUCUAAGGAAAGUGCAACAGAAAUAAACCGCCCGCUGAAAAAGCGUGGUAAGGAUGGAAAGGUGAGGUAAGAGCUCACCGCCUCUCCGGUAACGGUGAGGGCAUAUGUAAACCCCACUCGGAGCAAGACCAAACAAACCUUAGGUGGCCCGCCAGGUUUAGGUAGGUCGCUAGAUUUUACCGGUGACGGUAAAGCCAGACAGAUGAUCGUUCAUGACAGAACUCGGCUUAUCCGCCUGCUCAUAAU
RNAcentral lists this RNase P RNA (336 nucleotides) under Clostridiales bacterium COT073_COT-073. RNAcentral describes it as "Bacterial RNase P class A". It matches the Rfam family "Bacterial RNase P class A". Rfam says of the family: Ribonuclease P (RNase P) is a ubiquitous endoribonuclease, found in archaea, bacteria and eukarya as well as chloroplasts and mitochondria. The record is from Rfam by way of RNAcentral. Lineage: Bacteria; Bacillati; Bacillota; Clostridia; Eubacteriales.